AAAAGGGCGGCUUCAAAGGUGCAAUACUAAUACCCUUCUUAUGGAAAAAAUGAAAUUUUGCAUUUUUCCCAAUUCGCAUUGGUAGAACCCUACGCCCCAAAAUCGUCUCCAAUCGGCUGAAAGACUGUAGUAGAGGUUCGUAAAUCAGAAAGCGCCAGCGUAUAAUAAGUAAGUUUUUCACCCCUGAAGCAUAUCCACUAUCCGUAUGUCUUCUGUGGGUCAGAGAGGAAUUUGACCACCUUGUUCGGUGGGGUGAUUCUUGAUGUGGUUGCUUCGUCAUCUCCAAGAUUUUUAAUACGUUUGUCUGUUUAUGGGUCCUCGUUGAUUCUGUAAUUUACUUAUGAUAAUUAGCCUUUUUAGAUUUAGGUUUUUUUGUUUAAUUUAUAUACUAAGAUUGUUUUACAUUCUUUUCUAAUUUAUUUAGGAUUUAUUUUUGAAUAAUUUUGUUGCCGUUGAACGGUGGAGCGGGAAUACAGUUUAUGUUUACCUCUCUGCGCAAUAGUAUUUGUUGAUGCAUAUUGUACACCUUCCAUCAAUUUAGUUUUCAGAUGAUUACUUAUGGACAUUUGUGAAUGCAAUUGCAGUUGUCAAUGACAAGGAAGAGCAAGGGUGUUUGUCGUAGCUGUAGGAAGUCGGGGCAUUGGAUGUCUGACUGCUCGACGAAACGACAAUGCCCAGGCUGUUUUUUAGGCAUUGUCAAGUGUAUGGAAGUGGAGAAAAAAUCGUAAACUUCGGUUGAUUAUUAUGUUGUAGCAGAGACUGUGGUUAUUAUAGGUGGGCGCGGUCAUCCAGCCAUUGAAGAAGAACCCCCCCGUGUCUUGAAGGAGCAUCGAGCGUAGAUCAGAUUGCAGACUUGUCACGCAUGUUACAGAGUGUCGCUCACAUAGCCUAUCGGAAGGACACGAUGAUCUCCGUUAAUGUGACUAUUUGCAUUGGUAAAGGAGAUACAGAAGUCGAUGGAAAGGAAAGGAAAAAAUGCCGUGAAUUUUAGUCGAAUGUGUAAUGAAAUUAAUGGCCUGUAUUGUAGUUAGCCGAAUUUGUGGCCAAGCAAAUCUGUGUCUUGAUAGUGCAGGAAUUCUUGCCAAACUUUGUAUGAAUUUUAUUAUCAGAACUUCCUAUUUUAGCUUACUUGGAUUUUCAAGUCUUUUUUAUUGGUGUAAACUAUGUUUGAAUCAUGAAGCUGGUUA
RNAcentral lists this long non-coding RNA (1187 nucleotides) under Olea europaea subsp. europaea. The record is from RNAcentral. Lineage: Eukaryota; Viridiplantae; Streptophyta; Magnoliopsida; Lamiales; Oleaceae.